Molecule: ribosomal RNA, 254 nt
Filed under: uncultured bacterium
Lineage: Bacteria
Description: partial 16S ribosomal RNA
Rfam family: Bacterial small subunit ribosomal RNA
Source: RNAcentral
UACGUAGGGUGCGAGCGUUAAUCGGAAUUACUGGGCGUAAAGCGUGCGCAGGCGGUUAUUUAAGUCAGGUGUGAAAGCCCUGGGCUUAACCUAGGAAUUGCGCUUGAGACGGGAUAGCUUGGAGUGCGGCAGAGGGAGGUGGAAUUCCACGUGUAGCAGUGAAAUGCGUAGAGAUGUGGAGGAACACCGAUGGCGAAGGCAGCCUCCUGGGCCAGCACUGACGCUCAUGCACGAAAGCGUGGGGAGCAAACAGG